RNAcentral lists this transfer RNA (72 nucleotides) under Promethearchaeota archaeon. RNAcentral's name for it is "Candidatus Lokiarchaeota archaeon (microbial mat metagenome) tRNA-Gly". It matches the Rfam family "tRNA". From Rfam's summary of the family: Transfer RNA (tRNA) molecules are approximately 80 nucleotides in length. Their secondary structure includes four short double-helical elements and three loops (D, anti-codon, and T loops). The record is from RNAcentral. Lineage: Archaea; Promethearchaeati; Promethearchaeota.
GCACCGAUUGUAUAGUGGUUAGUAUCAUGGGCUUCCAACCCAUGGAGCCGGGUUCGAUCCCCGGUCGGUGCA